GACGAACGCUGGCGGCGUGCUUAACACAUGCAAGUCGAACGGAAAGGCCCUGCUUUUGUGGGGUGCUCGAGUGGCGAACGGGUGAGUAACACGUGAGUAACCUGCCCUUGACUUUGGGAUAACUUCAGGAAACUGGGGCUAAUACCGGAUAGGAGCUCCUGCUGCAUGGUGGGGGUUGGAAAGUUUCGGCGGUUGGGGAUGGACUCGAGGCUUAUCCGCUUGUUGGUGGGGUAGUGGCUUACCAAGGCUUUGACGGGUAGCCGGCCUGGGAGGGUAACCGGCCACAUUGGGACUGAGGUACGGCCCAGACGCCUACGGGAGGCAGCAGUGGGGAAUAUUGCACAAUGGGCGGAAGCCAGAUGCAGCAACGCCGCGUGCGGGAUGACGGCCUUCGGGUUGUGAACCGCUUUCGCCUGUGACGAAGCGUGAGUGACGGUAAUGGGUAAAGAAGCACCGGCUAACUACGUG
Molecule: ribosomal RNA, 468 nt
Filed under: uncultured bacterium
Lineage: Bacteria
Description: partial 16S ribosomal RNA
Rfam family: Bacterial small subunit ribosomal RNA
Source: RNAcentral